UACGAAGGGUGCAAACGUUGCUCGGAAUCAUUGGGCGUAAAGCGCACGUAGGCGGCGAUCUAAGUCGGAUGUGAAAUCCCUCGGCUCAACCGAGGACGUGCAUCCGAAACUGGAUUGCUCGAGUAUGGAAGAGGGUCGCGGAAUUCCCGGUGUAGAGGUGAAAUUCGUAGAUAUCGGGAGGAACACCAGUGGCGAAGGCGGCGAUCUGGGUCGAUACUGACGCUGAGGUGCGAAAGCGUGGGGAGCAAACAGG
This 253-nucleotide ribosomal RNA is filed under the name uncultured bacterium. Its description in RNAcentral is "partial 16S ribosomal RNA". It matches the Rfam family "Bacterial small subunit ribosomal RNA", at positions 524 to 776 of the family's 1533-position model. The record is from RNAcentral.